UAAUUUUAUCUCUUGAGGGACAAACUCAUGAUAGACUACUCAAACUUAGAGUUGGGAAAGUCCGGUGAAAUCCCGGUACUGUGCCGCAGCUGUAAUCUGAUUGGAAAUUGUGAGUGGUUAAUAAAACAACCAUGUACCAACAACCAAUUCAGUUAGUCAGAACGCCAAUUUCUAAGGGUGUCGCCAA
This is a non-coding RNA of Hapalosiphon sp. MRB220, 187 nucleotides long. NCBI's taxonomy places the organism in Bacteria, Bacillati, Cyanobacteriota, Cyanophyceae, Nostocales, Hapalosiphonaceae. The record is from Rfam.